RNAcentral lists this ribosomal RNA (253 nucleotides) under uncultured bacterium. RNAcentral's name for it is "partial 16S ribosomal RNA". It matches the Rfam family "Bacterial small subunit ribosomal RNA", at positions 524 to 776 of the family's 1533-position model. The record is from RNAcentral.
UACGUAGGGUGCAAGCGUUGUCCGGAAUUAUUGGGCGUAAAGCGCGUGUAGGCGGCUUUGCAAGUCGGGUGUGAAAGCCCUCGGCUCAACCGAGGAAGUGCGCCCGAAACUGCAGAGCUUGAGUACCGGAGAGGAUGGCGGAAUUCCCCAAGUAGAGGAGAAAUUCGUAGAUAUGGGGAGGAACACCGGUGGCGAAGGCGGCCAUCUGGACGGAUACUGACGCUGAGACGCGAAAGCGUGGGGAGCAAACAGG